Molecule: ribosomal RNA, 484 nt
Filed under: uncultured bacterium
Lineage: Bacteria
Description: partial 16S ribosomal RNA
Rfam family: Bacterial small subunit ribosomal RNA
Source: RNAcentral
ACUCAAAUGAAUUGACGGGGACCCGCACAAGCAGCGGAGCGUGUGGUUUAAUUCGAAGCAACGCGAAGCACCUUACCAGGGCUUGACAUGCCAGCGUCCCUCCUGGAAACAGGACUCUCUUCGGAGCGUUGGCACAGGUGCUGCAUGGCUGUCGUCAGCUCGUGUCGUGAGAUGUUGGGUUAAGUCCCGCAACGAGCGCAACCCUCGUCGUCGGUUAUCGGUGUCCGAGGAGACUGCCACGACUAACGUGGAGGAAGGUGGGGAUGACGUCAAGUCAGCACGGCCCUUACGUCCUGGGCUACACACACGCUACAAUGGGCGCGACAAUGAGCAGCCAACCCGCGAGGGGGAGCUAAUCUGUGACAAACGCGCUCUCAGUUCAGAUUGCAGGCUGCAACCCGCCUGCAUGAAGUCGGAGUUGCUAGUAACCGCAAGUCAGCACAUUGCGGUGAAUACGUUCCCGGGUCUUGUACACACCGCCCGU